GAAGCAUACGAAGGCGGAACCUC
This 23-nucleotide microRNA is filed under the name Heligmosomoides polygyrus. RNAcentral describes it as "hpo-miR-10124-5p". The record is from miRBase by way of RNAcentral. Lineage: Eukaryota; Metazoa; Nematoda; Chromadorea; Rhabditida; Heligmosomidae.